Oncorhynchus tshawytscha (Chinook salmon) is the source of this 732-nucleotide long non-coding RNA. The record is from Ensembl. Lineage: Eukaryota; Metazoa; Chordata; Actinopteri; Salmoniformes; Salmonidae.
GGAUAGUGUAAUGACUGCAGGCUCUAGAGGAGAGGAGGUGGAGGAGGAGAGGGAUAGUGUAAUGACUGCAGGCUCUAGAGGAGAGGAGGUGGAGGAGGAGAGGGAUAGUGUAAUGACUGCAGGCUCUAGAGGAGAGGAGGUGGAGGAGGAGAGGGAUAGUGUAAUGACUGUAUAGUUCCCUUAAGGAAAAGCACCUUUAGUAAAUUUGUUUUCUCAGUGAGAGCUUCCCAUGUCUGGAAUACACUGCCAUCAGACACACAUAACUGCACCACAUAUCACACUUUCACAAAAUGCUUAAAGACAUGGCUAAAGGCCAAUCAGAUUUGUGAACAUGGUCCCUAGCUGUGUGUUGCUGCUUUCCCAUGUCUGUUGUCUGUAACUUGUGAGGUGUGGAAACACUUUCUUGUUGCUUUUAUGAAUUUUGUCUUGCUGCUUUUUGUUCUAUGUUGCUCUGUCUGUAUGCUAUGUCUUGCUUGUCCUAUGUUGUUCUGUCUGUAUGCUAUGUCUUGCUUGUCCUAUGUUGUUCUGUCUGUAUGCUACGUCUUGCUUGUCCUAUGUUGUUCUGUCUGUAUGCUAUGUCUUGCUUGUCCUAUGUUGCUCUGUCUGUAUGCUAUGUCUUCCUUGUCCUAUGUUGUUCUGUCUGUAUGCUAUGUCUUGCUUGUCCUAUGUUGCUCUGUCUGUAUGCUACGUCUUGCUUGUUCUAUGUCUCUGUUGCCUAUAUUGUAAUUGUUU